ACCCACCUGACUUCCAUUCCGAACUCAGAAGUGAAACGAAUUAGCGUCGAUGGUAGUGUGGGGCUUCCCCAUGUGAGAGUAGAACAUCGCCAGGC
Molecule: ribosomal RNA, 95 nt
Filed under: Vibrio owensii
Lineage: Bacteria; Pseudomonadati; Pseudomonadota; Gammaproteobacteria; Vibrionales; Vibrionaceae
Source: RNAcentral